Molecule: long non-coding RNA, 385 nt
Filed under: Olea europaea (common olive)
Lineage: Eukaryota; Viridiplantae; Streptophyta; Magnoliopsida; Lamiales; Oleaceae
Description: long non-coding RNA (OEUR_LNC011123)
Source: RNAcentral
AAUAAGUGAUUUCUCUUUGCCAAAUCUGGGUGAUAUAUCACACACAGGUUCCUCGGGUUUUCUUGAGAUAAAUUGGCUGUGCCUCUUUUUGCUCAUCUUCUUGGCUGCAAUGACUUUUGUUCCUUUGAGUGGCCACCUUUCUUCUCUCUUUAGUCGGCGGUCUAAUCGGCACUUGAGAACCAGACUUUGGCCUCUAUCCCGUGCGUUUUCCCCCCUGCUCAUUGCCCCAUUCACUAUCCCUAUUUGGCUGCCUCCGUGUGCAGCAUUUGGCCGAUUCUUAGGUUAUUCUUCUAUGAUCUUUGAGUGAAUAAUCUUGGUCCAAUUUGGGUAGUAUUGCCGUGUGAUUUUGGACCCUUGAUCUGAGCCUGGAUUCAUCCACUUUUGG